UCCAUUUACAUCAUGUCCGGCAAGUAUUUUAAGCAGUAUAAAUUCAAAAAAAUAUAAAACCUUGGAAACCUAGCUUUGUUUGUGCAAGAGAUCAUGUGUGCCAAAUUUUGGGUGAUUUGGAGGUGGUCGAAAAAAUCACCGCAUUCCGGAGGGACCAUUUGAUCUAACUUAAGCCAUUUUUUGAACAAAUGUGCUUUUUUCCACCACCUCCAAAUCACCCAAUUUCUCUAUGACACGGUGACCCACAUGUGCCAAACAUGUCCAUGAAAGAAAAUUUGGAAAAAUAUAUUUUACAAUGCCCCCUUGAGGUAUAGACCGAUGUUUUGAUCAGUCAGUCUAGAGGGUAGUAUAAAUUCAAAAAAAAUCAAAAAAAUAUAAAACCUUGGAAACCUAGUUUUGUUUGUGCAAGAGAUCAUGUGUGGCAAAAUUGAGGUGAUUUUGAGGUGGUCGAAAAAAUCACCGCAUUCCGGAGGGACCGUUUGGUAAGCCAUUUUUUGAACAAGGGUGAUUUUUUCCACCACCUCCAAAUCACCCAAUUUCUCUAUGACACGGUGACCCACAUGUGCCAAACAUGUCCAUGAAAGAAAAUUUGGAAAAAAUAUAUUUUACAAUGCCCCCUUGAGGUAUAGACCAAUGUUUUGAUCAGUCAGUCUAGAGGGCAGUAUAAAUUCAAAAAAA
This 678-nucleotide long non-coding RNA is filed under the name Triticum aestivum (bread wheat). Its description in RNAcentral is "long non-coding RNA (TAES_LNC023597)". Lineage: Eukaryota; Viridiplantae; Streptophyta; Magnoliopsida; Poales; Poaceae. The record is from RNAcentral.